Molecule: signal recognition particle RNA, 97 nt
Filed under: Salmonella enterica
Lineage: Bacteria; Pseudomonadati; Pseudomonadota; Gammaproteobacteria; Enterobacterales; Enterobacteriaceae
Description: signal recognition particle sRNA small type
Rfam family: Bacterial small signal recognition particle RNA
About the family: The signal recognition particle (SRP) is a universally conserved ribonucleoprotein involved in the co-translational targeting of proteins to membranes. Archaeal SRP consists of a 7S RNA and homologues of the eukaryotic SRP19 and SRP54 proteins.
Source: RNAcentral
UGUUGGUUCUCCCGCAACGCUACUCUGUUUACCAGGUCAGGUCCGGAAGGAAGCAGCCAAGGCAGAUGACGCGUGUGCCGGCAUGUAGCUGGCAGGG